RNAcentral lists this ribosomal RNA (31 nucleotides) under Seimatosporium vitis. RNAcentral's name for it is "partial 18S ribosomal RNA". The record is from RNAcentral. Lineage: Eukaryota; Fungi; Ascomycota; Sordariomycetes; Amphisphaeriales; Sporocadaceae. RNAcentral also lists the same sequence under 2 other names.
AUGUGAACUUACCAUUGUUGCCUCGGCAGAA